RNAcentral lists this ribosomal RNA (253 nucleotides) under uncultured bacterium. Its description in RNAcentral is "partial 16S ribosomal RNA". It matches the Rfam family "Bacterial small subunit ribosomal RNA", at positions 524 to 776 of the family's 1533-position model. The record is from RNAcentral.
UACGUAGGGUGCAAGCGUUAAUCGGAAUUACUGGGCGUAAAGCGUGCGCAGGCGGUGAUGUAAGACAGUUGUGAAAUCCCCGGGCUCAACCUGGGAACUGCAUCUGUGACUGCAUCGCUGGAGUGCGGCAGAGGGGGAUGGAAUUCCGCGUGUAGCAGUGAAAUGCGUAGAUAUGCGGAGAAACACCGAUGACGAAAACAAUCCCCUAAACCUGCACUAACGCUCAUGCACGAAAACGUAAAAAGCAAACAGG